CAUCGCCACGGUAAUACAGAGGGUGCAAGCGUUAAUCGGAAUUACUGGGCGUAAAGCGCGCGUAGGUGGUUUGUUAAGUUGGAUGUGAAAUCCCCGGGCUCAACCUGGGAACUGCAUCCAAAACUGGCAGGCUAGAGUAGGGCAGAGGGUGGUGGAAUUUCCUGUGUAGCGGUGAAAUGCGUAGAUAUAGGAAGGAACACCAGUGGCGAAGGCGACCACCUGGGCUCAUACUGACACUGAGGUGCGAAAGCGUGGGGAGCAAACAGGAUUAGAUACCCCGGUAGUCCCUGUCUCUUAUACA
This 301-nucleotide ribosomal RNA is filed under the name uncultured bacterium. RNAcentral's name for it is "partial 16S ribosomal RNA". It matches the Rfam family "Bacterial small subunit ribosomal RNA", at positions 510 to 808 of the family's 1533-position model. The record is from RNAcentral.